RNAcentral lists this ribosomal RNA (463 nucleotides) under uncultured bacterium. RNAcentral's name for it is "partial 16S ribosomal RNA". It matches the Rfam family "Bacterial small subunit ribosomal RNA", at positions 28 to 507 of the family's 1533-position model. The record is from RNAcentral.
GACGAACGCUGGCGGCGUGCUUAACACAUGCAAGUCGAACGGUGAACCUCUUCGGAGGGGAUCAGUGGCGAACGGGUGAGUAACACGUGGGCAACCUGCCCCCGGCUCUGGGAUAACUCCAAGAAAUUGGGGCUAAUACCGGAUGUUCACCGCUUCCCGCAUGGGUGGUGGUGGAAAGGGUUUCCGGCUGGGGAUGGGCCCGCGGCCUAUCAGCUUGUUGGUGGGGUAGUGGCCUACCAAGGCGACGACGGGUAGCCGGCCUGAGAGGGUGACCGGCCACACUGGGACUGAGACAGGGCCCAGACUCCUACGGGAGGCAGCAGUGGGGAAUAUUGCGCAAUGGGCGGAAGCCUGACGCAGCGACGCCGCGUGGGGGAUGACGUCCUUCGGGUUGUAAACCUCUUUCAGCAGGGACGAAGCGCAAGUGACGGUACCUGCAGAAGAAGCACCGGCCAACUACGUG